GAUGAACGCUGGCGGCGUGCUUAAUACAUGCAAGUCGAACGGACAGGCCCUGCUUUUGCGGGGUGCUCGUUUGGCGAACGGGUGUGUAACACGUGAGUAACCUGCCCUUGACUUUGGGAUAAAUUUAGGAAACUCGGGCUAAUACAGGAUAGGAGCUCUUGCUGCACGGUGGUGGUUGGAAAGUUUCGGCGGUUGGGGAUGGACUCGCGGCUUAUCAGCUUGUUGGUGGGGUAGUGGCUUACCAAGGCUUUGACGGGUAGCCGGCCUGAGAGGGUGACCGGCCACAUUGGGACUGAGAUACGGCCCAGACUCCUACGGGAGGCAGCAGUGGGGAAUAUUGCACAAUGGGCGGAAGCCUGAUGCAGCAACGCCGCGUGCGGGAUGACGGCCUUCGGGUUGUAAACCGCUUUCGCCUGUGACGAAGCGUGAGUGACGGUAAUGGGUAAAGAAGCACCGGCUAACUACGUG
Molecule: ribosomal RNA, 468 nt
Filed under: uncultured bacterium
Lineage: Bacteria
Description: partial 16S ribosomal RNA
Rfam family: Bacterial small subunit ribosomal RNA
Source: RNAcentral